GGGGUUAUGGCUCAGUGGUAGAGCGCUUGCCUUGUAUGUGUGAGACCCUGGGUUCGAUCCUCAGGACCACA
This 71-nucleotide transfer RNA is filed under the name Ictidomys tridecemlineatus (thirteen-lined ground squirrel). RNAcentral describes it as "Spermophilus tridecemlineatus (thirteen-lined ground squirrel) tRNA". It matches the Rfam family "tRNA". From Rfam's summary of the family: Transfer RNA (tRNA) molecules are approximately 80 nucleotides in length. Their secondary structure includes four short double-helical elements and three loops (D, anti-codon, and T loops). Further hydrogen bonds mediate the characteristic L-shaped molecular structure. tRNAs have two regions of fundamental functional importance: the anti-codon, which is responsible for specific mRNA codon recognition, and the 3' end, to which the tRNAs corresponding amino acid is attached (by aminoacyl-tRNA synthetases). tRNAs cope with the degeneracy of the genetic code in two manners: having more than one tRNA (with a specific anti-codon) for a particular amino acid; and 'wobble' base-pairing, i.e. permitting non-standard base-pairing at the 3rd anti-codon position. The record is from Rfam by way of RNAcentral. Lineage: Eukaryota; Metazoa; Chordata; Mammalia; Rodentia; Sciuridae.